Molecule: non-coding RNA, 5672 nt
Organism: Oryctolagus cuniculus (rabbit)
Lineage: Eukaryota; Metazoa; Chordata; Mammalia; Lagomorpha; Leporidae
Source: RefSeq, a predicted model, not a curated record
GCGCUGGGCUCCGGGCUGUGCGACCUGGGCCUUCGGAGUUCCUGGGCGUCGCGGGUGCCUCGGGGAGGAGGAAGGAAAGAAGGGCCCCCGCGCAGAUAAGGCGGCCGCUCCAGCGCCUAGGGGGCUGCGGGGGCCGGGGAUGGCUCGGCUCCAGCGCGUCACGAGGAUCCUUGGCUCGGAUAAAUGGCAGCCGGCCCAGGCUUUGUUUAAUUUUUAAAAGCAAAUUAUCCAUUGAGCCAUUUUUGGCUGCCUUCUAGAACUCAUACGUCAGGAAAAAAAUGCGGAGCGUGUGGCAAUUAAAAGCUAAUCAAGGGGAAAGAAAACACCAUUGUUGCGAGAGGAGGAACCGGUCGGGAACGCGGCGCUGUGCGUGAAGGCUCGCCCCGUGGCUGAGCAACCCCGCGCGGGUCGCGGAAGCCGCCGCUGCCUGAGGGCGGGCGCCCGUCGGGUCCUGAGGGGUCGCUACCGCUCCAUCCGGAAAAAAAACUCUGAGAAGCCAAGAAGCGUGCUCGCGCCCGAGCGAGCGCACCGCGCACGCACCCCAUGCGCGCAGCCGGGUCUCGUCAGCCCUUCGCUCGCCUGCUCAUGGAGAGAAGAACCAGGACCAGGCGUAGCCAGGGGCCACCCCAGCAAAUGAGUGGCAAUUCAGCCAGGAGCCUGGAGCGAGAGCCGAGAGCCCACACUACAAUUGAUUGAAUGAAUUUCAUAUCCAAGUAUCCCACAAGGACUGCUGAUAUGAAGAAUUCCAUCUAUGAACUAAUUUAUGAAGUAGUCUCAGCUUUACUGUAUUUAGUCUUCUAAAUACACAUGAAGGUAAUGGUAUCUUUCUGUUUCCUCAGAUAUCCUGUUUACUAAAUUUUCAUAAUAGUGUAUUUUCCGAGUAGCUUUGACAAUUUUCUGCAAAUCACUUCAGCAAACAAAGCUAUUAGAAUACUGAACCUCAGACAUGUCCUUAUGUCCCAUAUUUCUUAUUUAUUUAUAGUUCAGAGGCAAAGGAAGAGAAACAGAGACAAACUGAGCUCCCACCUGCUGAUUCAUUUCCCAAAUGCCUGCAAUAGCUUAGGCUGGACCAGGCCAAAGCUGAGAACACAGCCCAAGCUCAAGGGGCAGAGAUUUAUCCAUUUUAACCAUCACCUACUGUCUCCCAGAGCGUGCAUUAGUAGGAACCUGGAAUUUGGAGUAGAGUCAGAAUUCAGACUCAAGCACUCCAAUAUAGGAUCUGUCUGUUGUGUUUAGCCUCUUAACUCCUAGGCCAAACACCUACCCCUUGUUUUGCCAUCUUUGUCUCCUUGUUCUACUUGAGAUUUCCUUAACUUGCCCUUUUACCUAAAAAAAAAAAGAAAAAAAAAAAAAAGGAAAAUUUCAAAACGAUUUAUUUGAAAGGCAGAGUGAAACAGACUGAGAUAUCUUCCAGCUGUUGGUUCAUUCCCCAAAUGGCCUCAAUGGCUAAGGCUAGGCCAGGCUAGAGCCAGGAUCCAAUAAUUCCACCCUACUCUCCUGGCAGGGUCUGAAGUACUUGGGCCAUCUUCCACUGCCUUCCCAGGUGCAUUAGCAGGAAGGUGGAUCAGAAGUGGAGCAGUCAGGAACUGAACCAGCACUCUGAUAUGGGAUGCCAUGACAUUGACAUUGGCUUUCCACCUUUUUUUAAGUUUCUCCCAUAUUUAAAAAUUUGAAGUGCAUUUGACUUUUUUUUUUUUGGACAGGCAGAGUUAGACAGUGAGAGAGAGAAAGAGAGAAAGGUCUUCCUUUUCCGUUGGUUCACCCCCCAAAUGGCCGCUGCUGCCCACACCGGCAUCCCAUAUGAGUGCUGGGUUCUAGUCCCAGUUGUUCCUCUUCCAAUCCAGCUCUCUGCUGUGGCCUGGGAGGGCAGUGGAGAAUUGCCCAAGUGUUUGGGCCCCUGCACCCACAUGGGAGACCAGGAAGAAGCACCUGGCUCCUGGCUCUGGAUCGGUGCAGUGCCGGCUGUAGUGGCCAUUUGGGGAGUGAACCAAUGAAAGGAAGAUCUUUCUCUCUGUUUCUCUCUCUCACUGUCUCUAACUCUACCUGUCAAAUAAAAAAUUAAAAAAAAAUUAAAAAAAAGAAUAAAGCACAUAGAGAUCUGAUGAUCAGAACUCCUGUUAUCUUAGAUGACUGGGGAUGGACAGGGUGGACCUAAUAAUAACUCAAUAAGAAAACAGACUAAUUCUUUUUUCAUUUUAAAGGUUCAUGGCUGUAUAUAUUUAUUCUGCAUAGUAAAAGGAAGAAAUGUUCCCAACUAAUCUUGAUUUUUCAGAGUACCCUCACGGGGCUAGCACUGUGACAAAGCCGGUUAAAGCCCCAGCCUGCAGUGCUGGCAUCCCAUAUGGGCGCGCCAGUUCGAGACCCGGCUGCUCCUCUUCCGAUCCAGCUCUCUGCAAUGGCCUGGGAAAACAGAAGAUGGCCCAAGUCCUUGGGCUCCUGCACCCACGUGGGAGACCUGGAAGAAGCUCCUGGCUCCUGGCUUUGGAUCAGCUCAGCUCUGGCCAUUGUGGUCAUUUGGAGAGUGAACCAGCGGAUGGAAGACUUCUCUCUCUGGCUCUAUCUCUCUCUGUAACUCUGUCUUUCAAAUAAAUAAAAAUAAUUUUUUAAACAAAAGUAAACUCAGAUUAAAAUCAAUUUUAAAAGAAAAUAUUGUGGAAACAUUAGAUAAACUUAAAUUGAAAGACAUCCUGACAAAUUACUGACCUAUGUUAUUGUAAUUUUAAAAAAGAUCUGUUUUUUUCUAUUUGAAAGGCAGAGUGAGAGAGAGGGAGGGAGAGAAAGAAAGAAGUCUUCGAUCCACUAGUUCACUCCUCAAAUGGCAACAAAGCCAUGGCUGGGCCAGGUCAAAGUCAGGAGCCUGGAACUCCAUCCAGGUCUCCCAUGUGAUAACAGGGGCUCAAGUACUUGGGCCAUGAUCCACUGCUUUUCCAGGUACAUUAGCAGUGAGCUGGAUUGGAAAUGGAGCAGCCAGGACUUGAACCAGUGCCCACAUGGGAUGCCAGUGUCAAGGUAGUGGUUUAACCUGGUGAGCCACAAGGCCAUCCCCAACGUAUACUCUUAAAGAAAUGUGAAGAUUAAAGGACACAAAAGGACAGGAAUGUAGCUUAGUGGUUAAGAUACCCACAUCUCCUAUCAGAGUUUCUGGGUUUGAUUCCUUGCUCUGGCUCCUGAUUUCAGCUUCCUGCUGAUGCAGACCCUGCAAGGCAGCAGUGAAGGGACAAGUAAUUGCAUUCUUGCCACACACAGGAAGACCUAUAUUGAGUUCCUGGCUCCUUGCCUCAACCUCAACCCAAGCAUUUGGGAGCUUUCUCUCACUCUCUUGGUCUCUCAAGGAAAAAGAAAAAAAAGAAAGAGAAAAAAAAAAAAAAAAAAAGAGAAACAAAGAAAAAGACAUACAAGGAACCUCAGGAUUUGUUACAGAUUAAAGAGGAUUGGGGUAUCCAUGCAUGGUCUUAGGUAAAUUCUGGACUGAGAAAAAAAUUGCUAGGAAGAGUAUAAUUGGGAUAUGUGAUGAAAUUUGAAUGUGAUCUAUUGAUUAGAUAAAGAAUAUUACAGAAACGCUAAACUUACUGAUUUUGCUAUUUGCAUGUUAGUUAAGUAAGAGUAUUCUAGCUUUUAAGAAAUACACUGAAAUAAUUAGGAAUCAAGGGUCACGAUGUCUUCCAUUUGCUUUCAAAUGGCUCAGGAAGAGAAAUACACAAAGAGAAUAAAAGCAAAGAAACAAAAGGCAAAUAAUUGCUGGGUCUCAACCAAAAAAAAAUGCAACCCCACUAGUACUCUUUGCCAAAACAUUAAAAAGAAACUGUUCAGGGAAAUCCAGCUUUAUAACUACACAAUCAUUAGCACUGCAAAAACUAACUUCUCAGUAAGAACAAAAGGGUCAUGAUCAAGAGCAGGGAUUAUCCAAGACUGCUGUCAUUCUUUUAUUUUCCAGAAUGGUUACUUGCCUACUGCUCACAUGUAGAUGUGCUUCAUUGUAUGUGAAGUGCUGAUACUAACAUGAGCUUAUUGCAAAAGGUGCAAAUACCAUAUAUGUCAGAUGGAAGAUAUGAGAUAUGUAGACACAAGUGAGCCAACAAUCUUUAACAUUUUAAUUCAUUUAUUUAUUUCUAGAGAGAGAGAAUUCAAAAGCACACUCCUCCCCUACUGGCUGGUUCACUCCCUAAAUGUCUGCAACAGCUAGGGCUGGGUCAGACUUUUAGACAGGGGCCAGGAACUCAUUCUGGGUUUCCCAAGUGGGUGGCAGGGACCCAAGAAGUUGAAUCAUCACUUGGUGCCUGCCAGCAUGUGUAUUAGCAGGAAGCUGGAAUUGGGAGCAGAACUGGCACUUAAAACCAGGUACUGGGAUAAAGGAUAUGGGUGACCCAAGCAUAGGUUUUAACUGCAAGUUCAAAUGCCUGACUAUGUCUGUUACUGGAACACUCAUUUACCACAUGCUGUCUAUGGCUAUUUUUCAUAGUUGUGACUGAGGCUAUAUGGCCCACAAAGCUGAAAGCAUUUACUGUAUGGCCUUUUACAGAAAAAGUUAGCUGAUCCUGCCCCUAGAUUAUAGUGAUAAACUCCCAACUAGUCUGAAUUCUUUAGACAGAUUUUCUUUAAACACCCUUGUCAUCAGUACGGUCCUCUUUCAAGAGACUCCACAUUAGGGCUAGCAUUGUGGCAUGGUGGCUUAACCACUACAAUGACAACAUCCCAAAUGAGUUACAGUUCAAGUCCAGGUUGCUCCAUUUCUGAUCCAGCUUCCUGCUAAUGUGCUUGGGAAAGCAGUGAGAGAUGACCCAAGUACUUGAGGCCCUGCCACCCAUAUGGCAGACCUGGAUGGAGUUCCAGGUUCUUGGGUUUGGCCUGGCCCACUCUCUGGCUGUUUGUGGAUAUUUGGGGAAUGAAGCAGCAGACAGAUGGAGGAUCUUUGUCUGCCUUUCAAAUAAAUAAAGUAAACCUUAAAAAAGAAAAAAGAGAAAGACACUCAACUUUUAACUCCUCUAGUAACUAACCCUUUAGCUCUACUGCUGAGAAGGGCAAUAAUCUAGAUUGUUAGUAAUUAGAGAGGACCUUUAGGUUUAAGUCAUUCUCAAAUACAGACUUUCAAACAACCCUCCUGUUUUCAGUCCCACUUUCAGAGGUGCCUUGGGCUCUCAAUUUACAGCGUUCUAGAGGUUCAAGUGCGUACACUGGGUUACCUCUCAGCUCUCCCCACUGUCAGUUUAGGAUUUAACUGUCUUAGUUCUUCUAAAAGAGUUACCAUUUCUUUCUCUAUUUUCCAGUAUUCAAAAUAUAUUGUUCCUGACUUUUCUCCUUGGUCUCAUCAUUCUUAUGGGUCUUUCUUUUUUAAAAGAUUUUUUUUUUUUUUAAUUUGAAAUGCAGAGUUACGGAGAGAGAGGGAGAGACAGAGAGAUCUGGGUCCCUGCACCCAUGUGGGAGACCCAGAAGAAGCUGCUGGCUCCUGACUUCAGACCAGCCCAGGUCAUUUGGGGAAUGAACUAGUAGAUGGAAGAUCGAUCUCUUUCUUUCUCCCUCUCUCUAACUCUGCCUUUCAAAUAAAUAAAUAAAUAAAUAAAUAAAUCUUAAAAAAAUGCUGACCACAGAUCUGAAUUUUUAAAACCAGACAUAUUCUAUACAAGACUAUAAAAGUGGCCGGUGCCGCGACUCACUUUGCUAAUCCUCCGCCUGCG